Molecule: non-coding RNA, 66 nt
Organism: Crenichthys baileyi (White River springfish)
Lineage: Eukaryota; Metazoa; Chordata; Actinopteri; Cyprinodontiformes; Goodeidae
Source: the annotation of a GenBank genome assembly
GCCCCAGUGGCCUAAUGGAUAAGGCACUGGCCUCCUAAGCCAUGGAUUCAAGUCCCAUCUGCGGUG